GGCCGUGGCUUAGUGGUAGAGUGCUUGCCUUGUAUGUGUGAGGCACUGAGUUCCAUCCUCAGCACCA
Molecule: transfer RNA, 67 nt
Filed under: Marmota monax (woodchuck)
Lineage: Eukaryota; Metazoa; Chordata; Mammalia; Rodentia; Sciuridae
Description: tRNA.Thr
Source: RNAcentral